Molecule: transfer RNA, 60 nt
Filed under: Dipodomys ordii (Ord's kangaroo rat)
Lineage: Eukaryota; Metazoa; Chordata; Mammalia; Rodentia; Heteromyidae
Rfam family: tRNA
About the family: Transfer RNA (tRNA) molecules are approximately 80 nucleotides in length.
Source: Rfam by way of RNAcentral
GUGGCUUAGUGGUAGAGUGCUUGCCUAGCAUGCAUGAGGUCCUGGGUUCGAUUCCUCAGC